This 1632-nucleotide ribosomal RNA is filed under the name Triticum aestivum (bread wheat). RNAcentral's name for it is "partial small subunit ribosomal RNA". The record is from RNAcentral. Lineage: Eukaryota; Viridiplantae; Streptophyta; Magnoliopsida; Poales; Poaceae.
AUGACGAGGAUCUUCGUGCAGCGUGGGCCCGGUGGCUCCUCGUCCAACUCGGCUCGCUCAGGCUCACAGGCACUGCAGCAGCAACAGCAGCAGCAGCAGAACCAGCCAGCAGCUGCUGCCCGGGAGGAGGAGCUUACGGUGCAGCCGCAGCCACUGGAGCUCUUGGCUUCAGGUGAUACAACUGAGCAUCUACUUGAGGGUGGCGAAAGUAGUAGCAAUGAUCCUUCAAGGCUGGUUGAAACUGUGUCUGAGAGCUCAAGUCAUGUGGAAGAGGGAUCUGAGAGAGAGAAACCUCCCAAGGAUGACUCCAAUGUGACCGAUCCCCCUUUCUUGAUGGAGCUGUCAGGACUCCAGCUUCCGGAUCAGUUUGAGCAGGCGAAUCCUGUGCAGUCAGGCACUGUGCCAUCGCAGAUAACUGGAGCAGCAUCACACCCACCGCCUCCUCCGGCUCCACCACCAAAACCAUCAUCAUCUGGUAAUAAUGGGUUGAGGAGAAUGGGAUCUGGAAGCUCAAAUGGUGUGCGGAUUGGAUCUUCAAGAAGGCCAGCUGCUUGGCCACCAGUGGCAGCUUGGACAUCUGCUUCGGGUUCUCGCCCUUCUUCCCCUAGGUCACUUGCUGAUUGUGAAGGGUACAAUAGUGCAGAUGAGCAAGGUGCCUGUUACACCUCUAGCUAUGAUGAUUCGGAAAGGGAGCAUAUGUUCGAACAUGACCUAAGGCGAGUGAAAGGGUUUGAAAUAAGAAAGAUGGCAGCAGAUGGGAAUUGCCUGUUCAGAGCAGUUGCUGAUCAAGUUUAUGGUGAUCCAGAAACUUAUGAUAUGGCUAGGCAGAUGUGUGUUGACUAUAUGGAAAGGGAGCGGGAUCAUUUUUCUCAGUUCAUGACGGAAGGCUUUACACCAUAUUGUAAAAGGAAAAGAAAAGACAAGGUAUAUGGCAAUAACAUUGAGAUCCAGGCAUUUGCUGAGAUGUACAAUCGUCCAAUUCACAUAUAUUCAUACAGUACAGAGCCUAUUAACAUUUUUCAGGGAAGUUAUAACACAGAUGUUCCUCCGGUUAGGUUAAGUUACCAUCACGGUAACCAUUAUAAUUCAGUUGUUGAUCCUCGUCGGCUGACAGUUGGGGCAGGCCUUGGAUUUAGCUCCCUUAGAGGGACCAACAGUGUUGACAGAGACCAAGUGAAGGCUGCAAUAAAAGCUCAGCAAGAUCAGCAGAUUGAGAACGCACUUUUGGCUGAAGGGCGACUCUACUCUGAUCUGGAGUUAACUGAGAAGGAAAUAGAGCGGAUGGUGAUGGAGGCCUCUCGGGCAGAGUAUCUGAACCAGCAGCAAGUUAACUUCAGAGAGUCAUCAAGGUCAGGGGCAGAGCCAUCUUCCUCCGCCGCAAUUAGUGGAUCGUCUGGUUCGGCGGCAGCUGCGGAUAGAGGCACUGAGAAUUGUUUCGUACUCCCAGACACCGUGCUGACUCGCAGCAUGCAGUUGCUCCUAGCAAUGGGCUUUAGCUACAUGCAAGUGAUGGAAGCCUACAGUAUAUUCGGUGAGGACAUGGACUCGAUGAUCUGCUACCUGGUGGAGAUGGGAGGCACCGGAGCCUCCCCAGGCGGCAGCAACCGCCGGAAAGGGAAGGCUGCUGAGUGA